Molecule: ribosomal RNA, 330 nt
Filed under: uncultured anaerobic ammonium-oxidizing bacterium
Lineage: Bacteria
Description: bacterial SSU rRNA
Rfam family: Bacterial small subunit ribosomal RNA
Source: RNAcentral
CGCGCAGGUGGAUCUGCAAGUCAGGGGUGAAAUCUCACGGCUUAACCGUGAAAGUGCCUUUGAUACUGCAAAUCUUGAGUUCGGAAGAGAGAGACGGAAUUCCAGGUGUAGUGGUGAAAUACGUAGAUAUCUGGAAGAACACCAGUUGCGAAGGCGGUCUCUUGGUCCGAUACUGACACUCAGGCGCGAAAGCGUGGGUAGCAAACAGGAUUAGAUACCCUGGUAGUCCACGCUGUAAACGAUGAAUACUAGGUGUUGGCCCUUUUAGGGGUCAGUGCCGCAGCUAACGCAUUAAGUAUUCCACCUGGGGAGUACGAUCGCAAGGUUGAA